This 1948-nucleotide ribosomal RNA is filed under the name Strossmayeria basitricha. RNAcentral describes it as "eukaryotic LSU rRNA". Lineage: Eukaryota; Fungi; Ascomycota; Leotiomycetes; Helotiales. The record is from RNAcentral.
CGAUUGAAUGGUUAAGUGAGGCUUUCGGACUGGCUCAGGGAGGGUGGCAACACCCACCCAGAGCCGGAAAGUUGUCCAAACUUGAUCAUUUAGAGGAAGUAAAAGUCGUAACAAGGUUUCCGUAGGUGAACCUGCGGAAGGAUCAUUACCUGAUAGAAGCCCUCACGGGCCCUAUCCCACCCGUGUUUAUAUACCUUUGUUGCUUUGGUGGGCCGUGGCUUCCACUGUGGGCUAUGCUCGCAAGUGCCCGCCAGAGGACUAAACUCUGAAAUUUAGUGAUGUCUGAGAACUAUUAAAUAGUAAAAACUUUCAACAACGGAUCUCUUGGUUCUGGCAUCGAUGAAGAACGCAGCGAAAUGCGAUAAGUAAUGUGAAUUGCAGAAUUCAGUGAAUCAUCGAAUCUUUGAACGCACAUUGCGCCCUGUGGUAUUCCGCGGGGCAUGCCUGUUCGAGCGUCAUUUUACCAAUCAAGCUCUGCUUGGCAUUGGAGCCCGUACGAGUACGGCUCUCAAAGAUAAUAGCAGUCUAAACAAGACCCUAAGCAUAGUAAACUUUCUUGCUUCUGGGCGCUGUAGUGACUUGCUCACACCUAUCUUAAGGUUGACCUCGGAUCAGGUAGGGAUACCCGCUGAACUUAAGCAUAUCAAUAAGCGGAGGAAAAGAAACCAACCGGGAUUGCCUUAGUAACGGCGAGUGAAGCGGCAAGAGCUCAAAUUUGAAAGCUGCCAACAGGCCGCGUUGUAAUUUGUAGAAGAUGCUUUGGGUGCCGGCCUUGUCUAAGUUCCUUGGAACAGGACGUCAUAGAGGGUGAGAAUCCCGUACGUGAUUAGGCCUAACCCCGUGUAAAGCUCUUUCGACGAGUCGAGUUGUUUGGGAAUGCAGCUCAAAAUGGGUGGUAAAUUUCAUCUAAAGCUAAAUAUUGGCCAGAGACCGAUAGCGCACAAGUAGAGUGAUCGAAAGAUGAAAAGCACUUUGGAAAGAGAGUUAAACAGUACGUGAAAUUGUUGAAAGGGAAGCGUUUAUAACCAGACUUGCGGGCUAUCGAUCAUCCGAGGUUCUCCCCGGUGCACUCGAUUGUUCUCAGGCCAGCAUCGGUUCUAGUGGUGGGAUAAAGGCCGUGGGAAUGUGGCUCUUCGGAGUGUUAUAGCCCACGGUGCAAUGCCGCCUACCGGGACCGAGGACCGCGCUUCGGCUAGGAUGCUGGCGUAAUGGUUGUAAACGACCCGUCUUGAAACACGGACCAAGGAGUCUAACAUCUAUGCGAGUGUUUGGGUGUCAAACCCAUACGCGUAAUGAAAGUGAACGGAGGUGAGAGUCCUUUAGGGUGCAUCAUCGACCGAUCCUGAUGUCUUCGGAUGGAUUUGAGUAAGAGCAUAGCUGUUGGGACCCGAAAGAUGGUGAACUAUGCGUGAAUAGGGUGAAGCCAGAGGAAACUCUGGUGGAGGCUCGCAGCGGUUCUGACGUGCAAAUCGAUCGUCAAAUUUGCGUAUAGGGGCGAAAGACUAAUCGAACCAUUAAAGGGCAAUCAAGUAUUGUUACAGUUGCUAGGUGGUUGAGAGAUGAUCGAAAUUUCCAUCUAGUCCUACCAAGGGCAACACUCUCAAACUGUUACGGGGACGUCCUGUUGAAGCUAAACUACCGUACUACCUCCGAAAGGAGUUGGUACACCGGGUUAAUGACCUAGGGUAUGGUAAUAACGUUUAGAUAGGGAUAAUCCGCAGCCAAAUCCUAAGGGCUAUGCCUAUGGAUGCAGUUCACAGACUAAAUGUGAGUGGAUCUCACUAUGAGAAUAGUGAGGUUUAAGUUAUAGUCGGACCACUGGGAGACCGGUUCAAUAAGUGAAAUAGUGUAAAGAUGGUACCAUACUUGUAUGGGCUUUAUACCUAGUAUCUUAUUGAAGAUAAAACCCUCUAAUAUCGGGUCUUAUCUGGAGAAGCAAGCAGGUUHU